This 777-nucleotide ribosomal RNA is filed under the name uncultured archaeon. Its description in RNAcentral is "bacterial SSU rRNA". It matches the Rfam family "Archaeal small subunit ribosomal RNA", at positions 20 to 782 of the family's 1478-position model. The record is from RNAcentral.
GACCCGACUGCUAUUUGGGUGAGGAUAAGCCAUGCGAGUUGAAUGGGAAACCUAAAGUUCCCAUGGCAAACUGCUCAGUAACACAUGAUCAACUUAACCUAUAGAGAAAAAUAACCUCGGGAAACUGAGGAUAAUGUUUCAUAGUUGAAUUGGCUUGGAAAAGUUUUUCGACGAAAGGGGUAAAAAAAAUGGUUUUUAUCUGCUAUAGGAUAGGAUCGUGUUCGAUUAUGGUUGUUGGUGAGGUAAUGGCUCACCAAGCCGAUAAUCGAUAGGGGCCGUGAGAGCGGGAGCCCCGAGAUGGGUACUGAGACAACGACCCAGGCCUUACGAGGCGCAGCAGGCGCGAAACCUCCGCAAUACACGAAAGUGUGACGGGGUUACCCAAAGUGUUCAAUUUUGAACUGUGGUAGGUGAGUAAUGUUCCCUACUAGAAAGGAGAGGGCAAGGCUGGUGCCAGCCGCCGCGGUAAAACCAGCUCUUCAAGUGGUCGGGAUAAUUAUUGGGCUUAAAGUGUCCGUAGCCGGUUUAGUAAGUUCCUGGUAAAAUCGGGUAGCUUAACUAUCUAUAUGCUAGGAAUACUACUAUACUAGAGGGCGGGAGAGGUCUGAGGUACUACAGGGGUAGGGGUGAAAUCUUAUAAUCCUUGUUGGACCACCAGUGGCGAANGCGUCAGACUGGAACGCGCCUGACGGUGAGGGACGAAAGCCAGGGGAGCGAACCGGAUUAGAUACCCGGGUAGUCCUGGCCGUAAACGAUGCAUACUANGUGAUGGCACGG